RNAcentral lists this ribosomal RNA (447 nucleotides) under uncultured bacterium. RNAcentral's name for it is "bacterial SSU rRNA". It matches the Rfam family "Bacterial small subunit ribosomal RNA", at positions 329 to 792 of the family's 1533-position model. The record is from RNAcentral.
UGCCAGACUCCUACGGGAGGCAGCAGUGGGGGAUAUUGCACAAUGGGGGAAACCCUGAUGCAGCGACGCCGCGUGUGGGAAGACGGUCCUCUGGAUUGUAAACCACUGUCCCCAGGGACGAAAAUGACGGUACCUGAAGAAGAAGCCCCGGCUAACUACGUGCCAGCAGCCGCGGUAAUACGUAGGGGGCAAGCGUUAUCCGGAUUUACUGGGUGUAAAGGGGGCGCAGACGGCGAUGCAAGCCAGGAGUGAAAGCCCGGGGCCCAACCCCGGGACUGCUCUUGGGACUGCGUGGCUGGAGUGCAGGAGGGGCAGGCGGAAUUCCUGGUGUAGCGGUGAAAUGCGUAGAUAUCAGGAGGAACACCGGCGGCGAAGGCGGCCUGCUGGACCGUGACUGACGUUGAGGCUCGAGAGCGUGGGGAGCAAACAGGAUUAGAUACCCUUGUA